Molecule: ribosomal RNA, 800 nt
Filed under: uncultured archaeon
Lineage: Archaea
Description: bacterial SSU rRNA
Rfam family: Archaeal small subunit ribosomal RNA
Source: RNAcentral
CCUUACUGCUCAGUAACACGUGGAUAACCUGCCCUUGGGUCCGGCAUAACCCCGGGAAACUGGGGAUAAUUCCGGAUAACGCAUAUAUGCUGGAAUGCUUUAUGCGUCAAAUGGAUUCGUCUGCCCAAGGAUGGAUCUGCGGCCUAUCAGGUAGUAGUGGGUGUAAUGUACCUACUAGCCAACAACGGGUACGGGUUGUGAGAGCAAGAGCCCGGAGAUGGAUUCUGAGACAUGAAUCCAGGCCCUACGGGGUGCAGCAGGCGCGAAAACUUUACAAUGCGGGAAACCGUGAUAAGGGGACACCGAGUGCUAGCAUCAUAUGCUGGCUGUCCAGGUGUGUAAACUACACCUGUUAGCAAGGGCCGGGCAAGACCGGUGCCAGCCGCCGCGGUAACACCGGCGGCCCGAGUGGUGAUCGUGAUUAUUGGGUCUAAAGGGUCCGUAGCCGGUUUGGUCAGUCUUCCGGGAAAUCUGAUAGCUUAACUAUUAGGCUUUCGGGGGAUACUGCCAGGCUUGGAACCGGGAGAGGUAAGAGGUACUACAGGGGUAGGAGUGAAAUCUUGUAAUCCCUGUGGGACCACCUGUGGCGAAGGCGUCUUACCAGAACGGGUUCGACGGUGAGGGACGAAAGCUGGGGGCACGAACCGGAUUAGAUACCCGGGUAGUCCCAGCCGUAAACGAUGCUCGCUAGGUGUCAGGCAUGGCGCGACCGUGUCUGGUGCCGCAGGGAAGCCGUGAAGCGAGCCACCUGGGAAGUACGGCCGCAAGGCUGAAACUUAAAGGAAUUGGCGGGGGAGCAC